GAUGAACGCUAGCGACAGGCCUAACACAUGCAAGUCGAGGGGCAGCACAUGAGUAGCAAUACGAUGGUGGCGACCGGCGCACGGGUGAGUAACACGUAUGCAACCUGCCUUCUACUAUGGGAUAACCCGUUGAAAGACGGACUAAUACCGUAUAAUACAGGGGCUCCGCAUGGAGAUAUUUGUUAAAGAUUUAUUGGGAGAAAAUGGGCAUGCGUAUGAUUAGAUAGUUGGUGAGGUAACGGCUCACCAAGUCAACGAUCAUUAGGGGUUCUGAGAGGAAGGUCCCCCCCCAUGGUACUGAGACACGGGACAGACUCCUACGGGAGGCAGCAGUGGGGAAUAUUGGUCAAUGGACGAGAGUCUGAACCAGCCAAGUCGCGUGAAGGAAGACGGUUCUAUGAAUUGUAAACUUCUUUUGUGCAGGAAUAAAGUGGGUUACGUGUAACCUUUUGUAUGUACUGUACGAAUAAGGAUCGGCUAACUCCGUGCCAGCAGCCGCGGUAA
This 504-nucleotide ribosomal RNA is filed under the name uncultured bacterium. Its description in RNAcentral is "partial 16S ribosomal RNA". It matches the Rfam family "Bacterial small subunit ribosomal RNA", at positions 28 to 523 of the family's 1533-position model. The record is from RNAcentral.